CGCUCAUCCAGAGGGGUGGAGGGACCGGCCCUGCGAAGCCCCGGCAACCACCUGGUCAGUGUGCGUUCGCGACCCCGCGAGGCCGACCGGGAGAAGGUGCCAACUCCGGCCUGCGACCAAGGUGGCGCAGGAAAGAUGGGGA
Molecule: non-coding RNA, 142 nt
Organism: Actinomadura sp.
Lineage: Bacteria; Bacillati; Actinomycetota; Actinomycetes; Streptosporangiales; Thermomonosporaceae
Source: Rfam